UACAGAGGGGGCAAGCGUUAUUCGGAAUUAUUGGGCGUAAAGGGCGCGUAGGCGGCCAUUCAAGUGACGGGUGAAAGCCCUCGGCUUAACCGAGGAACUGCCUGUCAGACUGGAUGGCUUGAGACCGGGAGAGGUGAGUGGAAUUCCCAGUGUAGCGGUGAAAUGCGUAGAUAUUGGGAGGAACACCAGUGGCGAAGGCGGCUCACUGGACCGGAACUGACGCUGAGGCG
This 230-nucleotide ribosomal RNA is filed under the name uncultured bacterium. RNAcentral describes it as "partial 16S ribosomal RNA". It matches the Rfam family "Bacterial small subunit ribosomal RNA", at positions 524 to 753 of the family's 1533-position model. The record is from RNAcentral.